Molecule: ribosomal RNA, 228 nt
Filed under: uncultured Actinomycetales bacterium
Lineage: Bacteria; Bacillati; Actinomycetota; Actinomycetes; Actinomycetales
Description: partial 16S ribosomal RNA
Rfam family: Bacterial small subunit ribosomal RNA
Source: RNAcentral
CGGGUGAGUAACACGUGGGUGAUCUGCCCUGCACUUCGGGAUUAAGCUUGGGAAACUGGGUCUAAUACCGGAUAGGAGCCAUCUUUAGUGUGGUGGUUGGAAAGUUUUUCGGUGUAGGAUGAGCUCGCGGCCUAUCAGCUUGUUGGUGGGGUAAUGGCCUACCAAGGCGGCGACGGGUAGCCGGCCUGAGAGGGUGUACGGCCACAUUGGGACUGAGAUACGGCCCAG